Molecule: ribosomal RNA, 141 nt
Filed under: Tricholoma matsutake
Lineage: Eukaryota; Fungi; Basidiomycota; Agaricomycetes; Agaricales; Tricholomataceae
Description: 5.8S ribosomal RNA
Rfam family: 5.8S ribosomal RNA (bases 1-59)
Source: RNAcentral
AUCUUUGAACGCACCUUGCGCUCCUUGGUAUUCCGAGGAGCAUGCCUGUUUGAGUGUCUGAAAUUCUCAACCUUUUCAGCUUUUUGUUAGUUGUUGCAGGCUGCUCAGAAGUCUGCUCUCCUUAAAUGUAUUAGCGGGGCC